CUCCAACGCCCUUUGCCUUCUCGGCGCCCCGCCUGCCCACAGGGGUGUCCGGAGCCCCCCUUCUCCGCCCCGCAGCGGCCCCGGCUCCCCAGCCCGCGAGCUCUUGCACAAGCCCACUCCGGUGUCCCGUCCUCCGGGACCGGGUCCACGCCUUCACCCUGACCGGAGCGCAGUGCCUUCCGGCCUAGUCAAGGACACCGCCUCCUCCCCGCAUACGCCGCCCGCGGCACCUCGGCCGUCGGCCGUCCCGCCCCGCGCGGGACACUCACCCCAACGCCACCGGACCCUGGACGCAGAAAGGAGAAUCCACCGAGGACAGUGCACGGUGCCUCCCGCCCUCAGCAGCUUUAUAGCCACCGACCCACCCGACUCCCGCAACGCCGGGAGGCGGCUAGGGGGGGCGGGACAGCGGCGGCCGCAGCCAAUCACGGCCCUCAGAGCCGCUCGGCAGCGCCCGCCCCUCGACCCGCUUUCUGCCAAUGGGAAGGAAACGAGAGGCGGCGACUCGCUGGGGUUUUCCCUCGCGGCUGGAAGGGCGGGGGAAGGGGCGGGGACAAAGUCGGAGGACCGGGGAAGUGGGGUGAGAGGGUGACGUAGGGUGGCCCGAGAACGUGCCUGCCAAUGGCGGGACGGCGAGAGACGGCGAGAGCCAACGGGAGCGGAGUGAGAGGUUCUCUGGCCAAUGGGCGGUCAGUGAGAGGAGACAGGGACCAAUGGCGACGCCGCGUCCCACCGCUGGGGAGAGAUGGUCAAGUGUGGGAGGCGAGUUGGUCCCUGCUUGGGAGGCUGUCAGGUUGCCUGGCAACCGCAGCCCAGGCUUCACCUGGAAAAUACUUGAAAUACUUGAUUUGAAUUCAAUCUUGACGUUUUCUAGUUUCCAGAGCAGCAAAGUGCGCCUCCAUCACAAGUUAUUGCACACUCCUUCACCCAGAUUUUCUAAAUUUUCAAUCCUUUGUAAGCAAAUUUUCCUUAAUCCACAAGAACGAGAGUGUGUCAAAGUCCGUGUCCCUGCCUGAAUAGCUUAAGAGCUCAGGCCAAGCGUUGUCACCAUGUUCCUUGAAACUCCUGUACAUGAGAGUGAAUGGGAAAGAAGCAAAUGUACAGACUGAAAUGCACAAGAAGACAGAUGGGGCCAUGGACAUUAGCUUGUGUAGCGAUAGAGGCCAAAGAAGCAGAAAUAAGAGACGCUGGAGGCCGGGGUGCCGGAGGCCGGGG
This is a long non-coding RNA of Peromyscus eremicus (cactus mouse), 1215 nucleotides long. RefSeq lists it as uncharacterized. The transcript has 3 exons. Lineage: Eukaryota; Metazoa; Chordata; Mammalia; Rodentia; Cricetidae. The record is from RefSeq and is a predicted model, not a curated record.